GAUGAACGCUGGCGGCGUGCUUAACACAUGCAAGUCGAACGAUGAAGCCCAGCUUGCUGGGUGGAUUAGUGGCGAACGGGUGAGUAACACGUGAGUAACCUGCCCUUGACUCUGGGAUAGGCCUGGAAAACGGGGUCUAUUACUGAAUAUGACUUCUCAUCGCAGGGUGGGGGGUGGAAAGAUUUAUUGGUUUUGGAUGGACUCGCGGCCUAUCAGCUUUUGGGUGGGGUAAUGGUUCACCAAGGCGACGACGGGUAGCCGGCCUGAGAGGGUGACCGGCCACACUGGGACUGAGACACGGACCAGACUCCUACGGGAGGCAGCAGUGGGGAAUAUUGCACAAUGGGCGCAAGCCUGAUGCAGCGACGCCGCGUGAGGGAUGACGGCCUUCGGGUUGUAAACCUCUUUCAGUAGGGAAGAAGCGAGAGUGACGGUACCUGCAGAAGAAGCGCCGGCUAACUACGUG
This 466-nucleotide ribosomal RNA is filed under the name uncultured bacterium. Its description in RNAcentral is "partial 16S ribosomal RNA". It matches the Rfam family "Bacterial small subunit ribosomal RNA", at positions 28 to 507 of the family's 1533-position model. The record is from RNAcentral.